This is a long non-coding RNA of Alosa alosa (allis shad), 190 nucleotides long. RefSeq lists it as uncharacterized. The record is from RefSeq and is a predicted model, not a curated record. Lineage: Eukaryota; Metazoa; Chordata; Actinopteri; Clupeiformes; Clupeidae. The transcript is spliced from 3 exons.
GCUCUCAGCACUACUUGUCUGCUGGCUGUAGUGGCUGUUUGUGUAGCAGCACUUCUGCUGAAGAGGGCAAGAGCAUGUGGAACCAGAGAUGGACGACUGACCUCAACAGGCACAACUAAGGGUGCAGCGGAUGUCCUCUACUCCACUGUGAACAAAUCAGCUGCUCCUGCUAACUCUGGUGAUGAUGUGA